GGUGCCAUCGAAUAAUUGGUUAAUUCACUUAGCCUUCACUUAAGGAACACCGGUUCGAAUCCGGUUGGUGCUA
This 73-nucleotide transfer RNA is filed under the name Tetradesmus obliquus. RNAcentral describes it as "Scenedesmus obliquus tRNA". It matches the Rfam family "tRNA". From Rfam's summary of the family: Transfer RNA (tRNA) molecules are approximately 80 nucleotides in length. Their secondary structure includes four short double-helical elements and three loops (D, anti-codon, and T loops). RNAcentral also lists the same sequence under 4 other names. The record is from Rfam by way of RNAcentral. Lineage: Eukaryota; Viridiplantae; Chlorophyta; Chlorophyceae; Sphaeropleales; Scenedesmaceae.